AGGGUUUGAUCAUGGCUCAGAUUGAACGCUGGCGGCAGGCCUAACACAUGCAAGUCGAACGGUAACAGAAAGAAGCUUGCUUCUUUGCUGACGAGUGGCGGACGGGUGAGUAAUGCUUGGGAAUUUGCCUUGAGGUGGGGGACAACAGUUGGAAACGACUGCUAAUACCGCAUAAUUGCUACGGCACAAGGGGGCUCCGGCUCUCGCCUUUAGAGAAGCCCAAGUGGGAUUAGAUAGUUGGUGGGGUAAUGGCCUACCAAGUCAACGAUCCCUAGCUGGUCUGAGAGGAUGAUCAGCCACACUGGAACUGAGACACGGUCCAGACUCCUACGGGAGGCAGCAGUGGGGAAUAUUGCACAAUGGGGGAAACCCUGAUGCAGCCAUGCCGCGUGUGUGAAGAAGGCCUUCGGGUUGUAAAGCACUUUCAGCGAGGAGGAAGGGUUAGUAGUUAAUACCUGCUAGCUUUGACGUUACUCGCAGAAGAAGCACCGGCUAACUCCGUGCCAGCCGCCGCGGUAAUAC
Molecule: ribosomal RNA, 522 nt
Filed under: uncultured bacterium
Lineage: Bacteria
Description: bacterial SSU rRNA
Rfam family: Bacterial small subunit ribosomal RNA
Source: RNAcentral